Molecule: ribosomal RNA, 253 nt
Filed under: uncultured bacterium
Lineage: Bacteria
Description: partial 16S ribosomal RNA
Rfam family: Bacterial small subunit ribosomal RNA
Source: RNAcentral
UACGGAGGAUGCAAGCGUUAUCCGGAUUGAUUGGGCGUAAAGCGUCUGUAGGUGGUUACGCUAGUCGGCUGUUAAAGAUCAGGGCUGAACCCUGAGCAAGCAGUCGAAACUGCGUGGCUGGAGUACGGUAGGGGCAGAGGGAAUUCCCGGUGUAGCGGUGAAAUGCGUAGAUAUCAGGAGGAACACCUGUGGUGUAGACGGCUUUCUGGACCAUAGCUGACGCUGAGACACGAAAGCGUGGGUAGCAAACAGG